Molecule: ribosomal RNA, 486 nt
Filed under: uncultured bacterium
Lineage: Bacteria
Description: partial 16S ribosomal RNA
Rfam family: Bacterial small subunit ribosomal RNA
Source: RNAcentral
ACUCAAAUGAAUUGACGGGGACCCGCACAAGCAGCGGAGCGUGUGGUUUAAUUCGAGGCUACGCGCAGAACCUUACCAGGGAUUGACAUGACUGUGGUAGUGAAGCGAAAGCGGAACGACCCUUCGGGGAGCAGUCACAGGUGAUGCAUGGCUGUCGUCAGCUCGUGCCGUGAGGUGUUUGGUUAAGUCCACUAACGAGCGCAACCCCUAGCCUCGGUUACACGUGUCUGAGGCGACUGCCGGUAUUAAGCCGGAGGAAGGUGGGGAUGACGUCAAGUCCGCAUGUCCUUUAUAUCCUGGGCUACACACACGCUACAAUGGCCAGUACAGUGGGUCGCGAAGCCGCGAGGCGGAGCCAAUCCUAAAAAGCUGGUCUCAGUUCGGAUUGCAGGCUGCAACCCGCCUGCAUGAAGUCGGAGUUGCUAGUAACCGCAGGACAGCUAUACUGCGGUGAAUACGUUCCCGGGUCUUGUACACACCGCCCGU